Molecule: long non-coding RNA, 3658 nt
Filed under: Homo sapiens (human)
Lineage: Eukaryota; Metazoa; Chordata; Mammalia; Primates; Hominidae
Description: HSALNT0399127
Source: RNAcentral
UGUAGCAGAACUUAGACACUCAACAGGGCACUGCUCCAGAGGGAGGAGGGAAUGGGGGGUGGAGAGGCACCAUGAGCACUUAUUUACUAAACACCUUCUCAUUGUCCCAGGGAGAAUCAGCAGGACCUCUGAGCAAGGUGCCCCGAGAAAGUGAAAGGAAUGAUGACCUCUUAAGAAAUGUUUUAUUCCCUUCCUGACGAAAUGUGGGGAAGGAGCAGUCUGCCUUUCUGGGUUCCUUCCCUUUACUCACUAACCACUGGCUCUGUCACACCUCCAGGCUUCGCUGAGGCAGUCCACUCCAACUGGAGCCCCUGCCCAACCUCCUUGUCACCCUCGGUUCCUGUGGGACACGCCUCCCCUGGCUCCCAGGCAAUACGGUCACUGCCCCUCCCACCCAGGACCCUGCCCUCCGGGACAGCUCCGGGACAGCACCGGGCCAGCCUCUUGCUUGAACUCGCCACUUGUCCUGACUGCAGUUCUGAGGGGUAAAGGUGUGUCCUAUUCACCCCACUGAACUCACAUGUGAUGGGUACACAUGAUAAAGGAAUGCCCGCUGGUGGCACAGGAAACUGAGGGUCCUGUGCCUGAGCGAUGUGACUCCAGGCUUCCCAGGAUCAGAUCCGCUGGGCACCUCCCUGAGUGACCACAGGCACGCCGAGGACAUACUCAUCCAUCACUGCUCCUUCUCCUCCCUCUGCACCUGCUGCCUUGACCCCUGUGUCAUCCUUGGCCCCGCCCCCACUAUCCCUUCUUGUCUGUCAUCAAAUCCCAUCUCUCCCACAUCCCGUGUUGUGCAGGUCCCCAUCAUCUCCCUGGCCCUCUCCAGGUGCCAUAACACCCUCCAAACACACUGCUGCCUCCCCUCCUGCCGUCCUGCUGCUCUCCAGACAGCAGCCACCAGGCCCUUUGUGUACACACUUGGGAUGUCAUGCCCUGGCUGAAAGCCCGCCAGUGGCUUCCCUGCCUUGGGAAUGUACUCUCCUUAAAGAGGCUCACAGGGCCUUCACGAUUCCACCAGAGAUUGGAACUGGUGGGCCCAGGGCCAGAUGGAAAUAGAUUUUAUUUGACCUUGUGGAGUACUGUAAACGUUCAGAUUAGCAGCUUAAACACAAAGCUCAAGGUACUGGAUUUAAUAAUCGAAUUUCCCACUGCUCCCAAAAAACAGGAAGCUUUGGCAACCCUAGGCUAUAGCAGAGUAGCUACAAUUGAGUAGCAGCAGACUCCAGGGUGACCCAGUCCACCAUCCUCUAUUGGCUGUUACACCCAGACCAUUGUACUCACUGGUGCCAAGUCCCAAUAGAUAUUUGUUUGCAACCCUAGUCUACCUCUCCAGCUUCAUUUCUUGCCUUACGUCCUUUCAGCUGCUACUUUCAACUCCAGCCACAAUGAGCUACUUCCACGUCCUUGCAUGUGAUUCCCUCCUGUCUCUUUUGCAUGUGUUAUUCCUUCUAUCUGGAAUACCCCUCCUCUCCCUGCUCCUUGCUUGGCCAACUCCUAAUAAUUUUCAAGUCUCAGAUCAGGGAGCUCCUCUUACAGGAAGCCUGCUUUGAUUUGUGCUCCCCCUAGCCCCUGCUCCAUGUCCUACUCCUGUUGAGUAUUCACCACUCUUGUGGUUGCCUCUUUACUUGUCUGUCUACCUCCUUAGGAGUUCCAAGAUGGCAGGAACAGGGGCUUCUCAUUUGCUGUGAAGCCUCUAACCCCUAGCAUGGAGGCUAGCUCAAUAAUAUUGCCAGAAGCAACACAUUCUACCUGGGCUUCCACUUUUCUCCUUGUAAAGUAAAGCUCUAGUAUCCUAAGAACACCCACCUUCCUGGAUGAAACAAGGACCAGAAGUCCCAAAUGUGCCUCUCACAGUCCUGUUUUAUUAUUAUUAUUAUUUUGAGACAGAGUCUCACUCUGUUGCCAAAGCUGGAGUACAGUGGCGCGAUCUUGGCUCACUGCAAUCUCCAACUCCUGGGCUGAAGCCAUCCUCCCACCUCAGCUUCCCAAGUAGCUGGGACAUAGGUGCAUGCCGCCACACCUGGUUAAUUUUUGUAUUUUUUGUAGAGACAGGGUUUCAGCAUGUUGCCCAGGCUGGUCUUGAACUCCUGGGCUCAAGCAAUUUGCCCGCUUCGGUCCCCCAAAGUGUUGGGAUUACAGGCCUGAGCCACUAUGCCCAGCCUUUUGUUUUUAAAAUCUGAAUUAGUGCCAAUAUUUAAAAAUCUGGAAACACAAAAUGCGUCACUUCUUACUUGGAUUGAAAAAAAUAUAAACAUUUGGCAAGGCAAGAGCUGGAAUAGUGCAUGGCAACACUCACCCGGCUGAGUCACAGCCUACCUCGCAAAUGGGGCUGUACGUGCUUUCCUGUUUCCGCAAGUACCCAUCAGCCCUUCACUGAUUUACGUUGCCUGCUUGGUUCCUGGAGGCAGCCAGUUCCAGACCCUGCCCUAGCCUGGCCUUUGGGGUAGAAAUGACCAUCCCAACAGGACAGGAAUUUCCUGGGAGGGGAGGGAGUCUGGCUCUGACUUCCUUUAGACCACCUGGGGGAAGAGACCCCUUUGCUUAUAGCCUUCCCCACUGUGUACACACACUAUGAGAUUUUUAAUCUUGGGACAGUCCUGAGCAGCUAUCAUCUGCCAAAACAUGACCUGCCACCAGGACCACGCAUGAACAGCAGAUGCGAAAAUAAGCAGCCACUCCUGCCCUGAUUUUCCUAACAUUUAACCAGUAGAGCACUUAUAUUUUUGUCAGCUGUCCCCUGGGAGAGCAGGGAGUCAGAGAUCCAUUUCCUGGAAAUCACUCCCGGGCCAGAUCACAUAACCCUUUUUCUGUGUCUGAGAUCCUUUCACCACUGCCACCUUCUCUGGAUCCCAUCUUAGUGCUGGGAUGCGGGGAAGUGAGAAAACAGGUACAGUCGUUCCUUGGGGUAGGUUCCAGGACAAUGCCCCUCACUCCCCAUCCCUCGGAUACCAACAUCCACAGCUGCUUAUGUCCCUUACAUAAAGUGGCAUAAUAUUUGCAUAUAACUUAUGCACAUUCUUCUGUAUACUUUAAAUCAUCUCUAGAUUACUUACAAUACCUAAUGCAAUGUAAAUGCUAAACAAAGUUAUAUUUUAUUUUUAUUUGAAUUUUUGUUGUUUUUUUUAAUUUUUAUUUUUAAAUAUUUUCUGUCUACAGUUGGUUGGAUCCAUGGAUGUGAAACCUGGGGAUAGGAAAGGCAUACUGUAUCCCCUGCCUUGUAGCAGCUCACAAUAUAAUGGGGAAUGGUUCCCUGCCAGCGAACAUGCUGUGUUUCGUUCAAUCAUUCAAAACAUUUGAGUGUCCACUGUGUGCCAGACGUGCUGGUCCCUCUGCUGUGCACAUCAUCCUCCUUGGUGUGAUGCUCCUUCGAGGCUCAGUUCAGAUGCUACUUCUCUGCUUGGCUUUUCCAGACUGCAUGAUACCCAGGCUGCCUGGCUGGGUCUUCCCAUGUAUUCCACCCCUGACCUGUACUGCCCCUGUUGCCAAGCUAUUUAUCAAAUUAUGUGAUUAAUAUCUGGGUAUUUUCUUACACUGGACCUCACUCAUAAGGGCAGGAGCUCUGUCCCGUUCACACACGAUCCUUCCCCGCCACGGCACUGCCCAGCACACAUAUGCUAGCAAAAAUUAUUUGACUGAAUAAAUCAGUGGUUUUCCAAGG